Molecule: ribosomal RNA, 115 nt
Filed under: Candidatus Pacearchaeota archaeon
Lineage: Archaea; Nanobdellati
Source: RNAcentral
GAAGACGGCCAUAAUAGAUUGGAAACACCUGUUCUCUUUCCGAACACAGAAGUUAAGCUUUCUAUGUUGAUGGCAGUAGUGUCCGAACAGACGCCAAACCUUCAAGCUGUCUUCA